RNAcentral lists this ribosomal RNA (1013 nucleotides) under Aetideopsis rostrata. RNAcentral describes it as "SSU rRNA". It matches the Rfam family "Eukaryotic small subunit ribosomal RNA", at positions 53 to 1069 of the family's 1831-position model. Lineage: Eukaryota; Metazoa; Arthropoda; Copepoda; Calanoida; Aetideidae. The record is from RNAcentral.
GCAUGUCUAAGUACAAGCCUCACUAAGGUGAAACCGCGAAUGGCUCAUUAAAUCACACCUAAUCUACUGGAUAGUUAACAGUUACUUGGAUAACUGCGGUAAUUCUGGAGCUAAUACAUGCACAAAGCCCCGAACUUACGUGAGGGGCGCUUUUAUUAGAUCAAAACCAAACGGCUUUGCUGUUCUCUUGGUGACUCUGAAUAACUUUGGGCUGAUCGCAUAGCCUAGCGCUGGCGACAUAUCCUUCGAAGGUGUGCCCUAUCAACUGUCGACUGUGGCAUAGACGCCCACAGUGGUUUUGACGGGUAACGGGGAAUCAGGGUUCGAUUCCGGAGAGGGAGCCUUAAAAACGGCUACCACAUCUAAGGAAGGCAGCAGGCACGCAAAUUACCCAAUGACCGAAGGUCGAGGUAGUGACGAAAAAUAACGAUACGGGACUCAUCUGAGGCCCCGUAAUCGGAAUGAGUACACUUUAAAACCGUCCCCGAGGAUCUAUUGGAGGGCAAGUCUGGUGCCAGCAGCCGCGGUAAUUCCAGCUCCAAUAGCGUAUAUUAAAGUUGUUGUGGUUAAAAAGCUCGUAGUUGGAUCUCGGCGGUCUGAGGGCGGUUCACUUGCUAGUGCUACUGCCCUAUAGACCGUAGUUUUGCCAGAGGUCUCAGGGUGCUCUUAAUCGAGUGUCUUGUGAUGCUGGCAGGUUUACUUUGAAAAAAUUAGAGUGCUCAAAGCAGGCUUUUACGCCUGAAUAUUCGUGCAUGGAAUAAUAGAAUAGGAAGUCGUUUCUAUUUUGUUGGUUUUCGGAAAUCGACUUAAUGAUUAAUAGGGACAGUCGGGGGCAUUUGUAUUCAAACGACAGAGGUGAAAUUCUUGGACCGUUUGAAGACAAACUACUGCGAAAGCAUUUGCCAAGAAUGUUUUCUUAAUCAAGAACGAAAGUUAGAGGUUCGAAGGCGAUUAGAUACCGCCCUAGUUCUAACCAUAAACGAUGCCAGCUAGCGAUCUGCUGACGUUUUUUU